GCUGGGCAUGGUGGCGCAUGCCUGUAAUCCCAGCUACUCAGGAGGCUGAGGCAGGAGAAUUGCUUGAACCCAGGAGGCAGAGGUUGCGGUGAGCCGAGAUCACACCAUUGCAAUCCAGCCUGGGUAACAAGAGCGAAACUCUGUCUCAA
Unclassified non-coding RNA from Callithrix jacchus (white-tufted-ear marmoset), 149 nucleotides. It matches the Rfam family "Metazoan signal recognition particle RNA". Rfam says of the family: The signal recognition particle (SRP) is a universally conserved ribonucleoprotein. It is involved in the co-translational targeting of proteins to membranes. The record is from Ensembl. NCBI's taxonomy places the organism in Eukaryota, Metazoa, Chordata, Mammalia, Primates, Cebidae.